This 492-nucleotide ribosomal RNA is filed under the name uncultured bacterium. RNAcentral's name for it is "partial 16S ribosomal RNA". It matches the Rfam family "Bacterial small subunit ribosomal RNA", at positions 29 to 507 of the family's 1533-position model. The record is from RNAcentral.
AGUGAACGCUGGCGGUAGGCCUAACACAUGCAAGUCGAACGGCAGCACAGUAAGAGCUUGCUCUUACGGGUGGCGAGUGGCGGACGGGUGAGGAAUACAUCGGAAUCUACUUUUUCGUGGGGGAUAACGUAGGGAAACUUACGCUAAUACCGCAUACGACCUACGGGUGAAAGCAGGGGAUCUUCGGACCUUGCGCGAUUGAAUGCGCCGAUGUCGGAUUAGCUAGUUGGCGGGGUAAAGGCCCACCAAGGCGACGAUCCGUAGCUGGUCUUGGAGGAUGAUCAGCCACACUGGAACUGAGACACGGUCCAGACUCCUACGGGAGGCAGCAGUGGGGAAUAUUGGACAGUGGGCGCAAGCCUGAUCCAGCCAUACCGCGUGGGUGAAGAAGGCCUUCGGGUUGUAAAGCCCUUUUGUUGGGAAAGAAAAGCAGCAGGUUAAUACCCCGCUGUUCUGACGGUACCCAAAGAAUAAGCACCGGCUAACUUCGUG